CUCCUGAAAAGAUGCCAUGCGGGUUUCGUGUUAAACGGCAUGUUUCACAAAGAGGCCUGGCCUGCUGUGGUUUGUGUCACUGUUCUGCCAAAGGACAGUGGUAAGACACAGCUGCAGCUUUGGUUUCCAUUCUACACUGGGCAAGUCGUCCCCCUUCAGCCUGAACCAAAGCCAGUGCCUGCCUGUUGGGAAUAUCAAGCGGGAAGCUGGCCAAGGCUCUAUCAGUGACAGCAGGCGGGGAAGUGGGCUGUGACUCAGAUAGACCAGGAAGCUGCUUCGAUAAAGAGCUAAAGUAAGUUACUCCGCUGUGACCCCAGGGGCCCGUCUUUCCUAUCCUCCCUCCAGGUCAGAGGGCUCAGAUCCUGCCCCGGUCUCACUGCAAGAGAGCCUGGCUGUCCUGCUGGAUGAUCAGAGACGGGGGCAGGACAGAAACCUGAGAAGUCUACAAGGGCAGGUGCACAGACAGCCUUGGUGAGGUUCCUUCUCCAACUAGACGGCCAGUAAAGGUUUGGUCAUUCUUACUGCAGCCUGGAGGCACAUCUUAGCUUGCUGAUGACACUUAGCAUUUGAGGAGCAAGGGCGAGCCUUCCUAGGGGGCUGCUCACUUGACUUUUAGGAUAUCCUCUGGGGGAGUUAACAAGAGGAGUGAGAUGUUAGAGUCAUUCCUGGAGCAGUGAGAGGGAUGGUUCUAGCAGGCACAGCAUAGGAAGCCUCUAUUGUUGACGGAGGUUCCCUAGGGAUGCUUGCUUUGACCACUACCUCCAGCAGAGAGUGACAAACUCAGGAAGCUGCUCUGCCUCUUUCCUGUCCCCUGACCUCUCUAUAGCCCCUCCUCACACAGGCAAAGGUGUCCUGGGCUGAGCCCAAGAACUUGCUUCCAGGCUGCAAAAGGGACAGCCCUGCGGAAUGGCUCCUGGGGGACAUUUGAAUCCCCAAGGACUUGGGCCACAUAGCGUAAGAGUCCCAUCCUGUCCACAAGGUGCCUGCACACUGCCCCUGGGAGGAGCAGCACAGUCAAAUGUGUGGCAGGAGGCCUGAGUCUAACUGGCUGGGAAGCUUCAGCAAACAGCUUCACCUCUUUGAGUCUCAGCCUCUGCCAGGUCUGAACUGGAGGAUUUGACCCAAAUGAGCAGCUUCCCAGCUGCACUCGAGGGAUGGGAGGGCUUGGCACAUUUGGCAGAGGGGCCCUGCUCCCCAGCACCCAGCCACCCUGCUGGAAUCAAGCCAGAAGGUAACCCGGGCACAUGUCGGGCUGCCCAGUACACUUUCAGUCUGAAAACUAACCAGCUUUGGUGCACCGAGAAGUCCGUGAGACCCAAACCUCAUGCGAAGUUCAUGUUAACGGAUGGUUGCUGUUCAGUCUUAGGACAUUUUUGUCUCUCCUGCUACCUGUCCUUGGAGGACCGUGAACAGAGGUGACCUGUGGUAGGUACAAUGGCAGGUGAGGGUUGGGAGCUGCUGUGGGAAGGUGGGAAAUGCAGGAGAAAACACUUUUUUUUUUUUGUCUUUUUCUUUUUUAUCGGUACCAGGGAUCGAACUCAUGACUGCCUGCUUGCAAGGCAGGCGCUUAUGCCACUGAACUAAAUCCCCAGCCCCCUAAGAGAACUCUUGCAAAAUGCCAGGUAUAUUUAGAUGAGAGUCCUGGUUGCCAACCUCGGAAAUGAAUAGAGCAGGAACAGAGGUAAUGCAGACUGGGCAGGAUGUAUCUUUACACAACUGGAAACGUGUGAGAUCUAUCUUCUUGGCUAAGUGCUGGGCUGCUGCUGUCACUUGGAUUACCCAAAGCACCAUUUUAUGUCCUGUCUACUGGACAGAGUUGAUGUCAUGGCUUCUGGUGGCCUUUCCUUUUCACAAAGGAAUGUGUGACUGCCAAACAUGUGGAGGCUUUACCUCUCCAUGGUGUUUGUUUAGAAACAGAAAAAUACAGAUGCUGUUCAAGAUCUCUUUUCUUUUGCAGGACCUAAGCCUGGCAUUUGAAUAUGAAGAUGUGUCAUGGUGGUAGAAAUUCAAGUUGAGGCCCGGAUAAUGGAUCCUCUAGAUCUAGCCUCUCCCCAAGUGCCAAAUCUCACCUGCAUGCCUGCCUUUGUAUGCAUCGCUCUCUCUCUCUCUCUCUUUCACACACACACACACACACACACACACACACACACAUCUUGAUAUUGUACACCUAUGAGGGAGGUGACACUCCUGCUUUCAGCAUCCCGUGGCUGAGCUCUUGAUCCACUUGGUCUCACAGAGUCCGAGACUGGCAGCUCUCUUGGGGAAAGGUCGAGCAUACAUCCCCGCCUCUGCCACUGCUCACCCCACUCCAUGCCCCUUUGUCUACUUAGGGUUUGUGGCUCUUGCAAACAGCGCUAGGAGUCCCUGCAAGCUGCACAGUUUCCUUGGGCAGUUGUCUUUGAUUUCAAAAAGUCUUCAGCCUCCACCACUACAGCUGUUCCUGGUUCUGACCUUUCACAAGGAGUCUCGGAAGUGCCUCAAAGGAGGGAAGAAGUAAGCACACACUUUAAACAUAUAUGACAGAUAUGCUUGCAGCAUCAAAGAGAGAAGGUGCGGAAAGAACUCUGGAGAAGCAGCUUUUCCCCUGCGUCUCAGCUUGUUUGCUGUUUAUAUUGGUUCCUGUGAACUUAUAGUUCCAGGCAUGCAUAGAAACAGAAACACAGAGACACCUGCCACCGUGCCGAGCACUUCAUGUGACAUGACUCUUCUCUGGACAAAUACAGUGAUGCAGCUUUUUUUUU
Long non-coding RNA from Cavia porcellus (domestic guinea pig), 2741 nucleotides. RefSeq lists it as uncharacterized. The record is from RefSeq and is a predicted model, not a curated record. The transcript is spliced from 2 exons. Lineage: Eukaryota; Metazoa; Chordata; Mammalia; Rodentia; Caviidae.